CUACGGGAGGCAGCAGUGGGGAAUCUUGGACAAUGGGGGCAACCCUGAUCCAGCGAUGCCGCGUGGGUGAAGAAGGCCUUCGGGUUGUAAAGCCCUUUAGGUUGGGAAGAAGGAUGAUAGUUUAAGAGAUAAUCAUCUUGACGGUACCAACAGAAUAAGCACCGGCAAACUCUGUGCCAGCAGCCGCGGUAAUACAGAGGGUGCAAGCGUUAAUCGGAGUUACUGGGCGUAAAGGGCGCGUAGGCGGUUUUGUGAGUGUGAUGUGAAAGCCCCGGGCUUAACCUGGGAAGUGCAUCGCAAACGACAGAACUGGAGUAGAUGAGAGGGUGGCGGAAUUUCCGGUGUAGCGGUGAAAUGCGUAGAGAUCGGAAGGAACGUCAAUGGCGAAGGCAGCCACCUGGCAUCAUACUGACGCUGAGGCGCGAAAGCGUGGGGAUCGAACAGGAUUAGAUACCCCCGUAGUC
Molecule: ribosomal RNA, 464 nt
Filed under: uncultured bacterium
Lineage: Bacteria
Description: partial 16S ribosomal RNA
Rfam family: Bacterial small subunit ribosomal RNA
Source: RNAcentral